AUUAAUUUGAGCGGCAACGUUCAUAUCAAUCUGCACUAAACAAAUCAUUAGAGGAAUGAUUGCAAAAUCAAACCUCUGAAGGUUAAAAAAAUGCUGAGAAGUAACAGCAUUAAAAAAAACAUUUAGACCAUAGUUGAGAGUCUUAAAAUCCAACCAGUUAGUAGAGACUAAAAAUUUACAAAACCAUAAACUCGAUCUGAUACCUGAAAUGCCUUU
This 216-nucleotide unclassified non-coding RNA is filed under the name Dictyostelium discoideum. Its description in RNAcentral is "partial non-coding RNA drf9-7". The record is from RNAcentral. Lineage: Eukaryota; Evosea; Eumycetozoa; Dictyosteliales; Dictyosteliaceae.